This 26-nucleotide non-coding RNA is filed under the name Mus musculus (house mouse). Lineage: Eukaryota; Metazoa; Chordata; Mammalia; Rodentia; Muridae. The record is from RNAcentral.
UGCACUGCAAGGUCGCAAGGUCGCAA